CACACCGCCCGCCACACCAUGGGAGUUGGAUUCACUCGAAGGCGUUGAGCUAACCCGCAAGGGAGGCAGGCGACCACAGUGGGUUUAGCGACUGGGGUG
RNAcentral lists this ribosomal RNA (99 nucleotides) under uncultured bacterium. RNAcentral describes it as "partial 16S ribosomal RNA". It matches the Rfam family "Bacterial small subunit ribosomal RNA", at positions 1386 to 1482 of the family's 1533-position model. The record is from RNAcentral.